CAUUCCAGCUCUACGGCCCUUGAAGUCCCUGAAAACCUCUUCUACUGUUCGUGGGUUGUACUGUGUCCCUCCGUCCAUGUCAGAAAAACCCUCAAGAUAAAGUUCGUUUACAGAGAGAGAACAAAGGAAAAGAGAAAGGAGAAGCAAAAGCAAAAUCUACAGAUUGAAAGGGGCAACUAAGGAGGAGAUACUGUUGCCUAGAGAAAGCCAAAAACAACAACAAACAUUUCACAGAUAGCAGCAGAGAGAGAGAGAGAGAG
This 260-nucleotide unclassified non-coding RNA is filed under the name Hevea brasiliensis (rubber tree). Lineage: Eukaryota; Viridiplantae; Streptophyta; Magnoliopsida; Malpighiales; Euphorbiaceae. The record is from RNAcentral.